This 465-nucleotide ribosomal RNA is filed under the name uncultured bacterium. Its description in RNAcentral is "partial 16S ribosomal RNA". It matches the Rfam family "Bacterial small subunit ribosomal RNA", at positions 28 to 507 of the family's 1533-position model. The record is from RNAcentral.
GACGAACGCUGGCGGCGUGCUUAACACAUGCCAGUCGUACGGUAAGGCCCUUUCGGGGGUACACGAGUGGCGAACGGGUGAGUAACACGUGAGUAACCUGCCCACAACUUUGGGAUAACGCUAGGAAACUGGUGCUAAUACUGGAUAUGUGCUCCUGCUGCAUGGUGGGGGUUGGAAAGCUCCGGCGGUUGUGGAUGGACUCGCGGCCUAUCAGCUUGUUGGUGGGGUAGUGGCCUACCAAGGCGGCGACGGGUAGCCGGCCUGAGAGGGUGACCGGCCACAUUGGGACUAAGAUACGGCCCAGACUCCUACGGGAGGCAGCAGUGGGGAAUAUUGCACAAUGGGCGCAAGCCUGAUGCAGCAACGCCGCGUGCGGGAUGACGGCCUUCGGGUUGUAAACCGCUUUCAGCAGGGACGAAGCUUUUUGUGACGGUACCUGCAGAAGAAGCACCGGCUAACUACGUG